AGCAGCCGCGGUAAUUCCAGCUCCAAUAGCGUAUAUUAAAGUUGCUGCAGUUAAAAAGCUCGUAGUUGAAUUUCGGGACCAAUAUGUCGGUCGUGCCUCGGUACGUACUGGCAUCGUUGGUUUCUCCCUUCUGACGAACCAUGAUGUCAUUUAUUUGGUGUCGUGGGGAAUCAGGACUGUUACUUUGAAAAAAUUAGAGUGUUUAAAGCAGGCUCACGCUUGAAUACAUUAGCAUGGAAUAAUGAAAUAGGACGUUUGAUUCUAUUUUGUUGGUUUCUAGGAUCGACGUAAUGAUUAAUAGGGAUAGUUGGGGGCAUUAGUAUUCAAUUGUCAGAGGUGAAAUUCUUGGAUUUAUUGAAGACUAACUACUGCGAAAGCAUUUGCCAAGAAUGUUUUCAUCAAUCAAGAACGAAAGUCUGAGGUUCGAAGGCGAUCAGAUACCGCCCUAGUUCAGACCGUAAACGAUGCCACUAGCGAUCCGAGGGCGUUAAUUAUGACUCUCGG
This 504-nucleotide ribosomal RNA is filed under the name uncultured Glomus. Its description in RNAcentral is "SSU rRNA". It matches the Rfam family "Eukaryotic small subunit ribosomal RNA", at positions 569 to 1082 of the family's 1831-position model. The record is from RNAcentral. Lineage: Eukaryota; Fungi; Glomeromycota; Glomeromycetes; Glomerales; Glomeraceae.